UGGGGAAUUUUGGACAAUGGGCGCAAGCCUGAUCCAGCCAUGCCGCGUGUCUGAAGAAGGCCUUCGGGUUGUAAGGGACUUUUGUCGGGGAAGAAAAGGUCGGGGUUAAUACCCCCGGCUGAUGACGGUACCCGAAGAAUAAGCACCGGCUAACUACGUGCCAGCAGCCGCGGUAAUACGUAGGGUGCGAGCGUUAAUCGGAAUUACUGGGCGUAAAGCGGGCGCAGACGGUUACUUAAGCAGGAUGUGAAAUCCCCGGGCUCAACCCGGGAAUUGCGUUCUGAACUGGGUGGCUAGAGUGUGUCAGAGGGAGGUAGAAUUCCACGUGUAGCAGUGAAAUGCGUAGAGAUGUGGAGGAAUACCGAUGGCGAAGGCAGCCUCCUGGGAUAACACUGACGUUCAUGCCCGAAAGCGUGGGUAGCAAACAGGAUUAGAUACCCUGGUAGUCCACGCCCUAAACGAUGUCGAUUAGCUGUUGGGCAGCCUGACUGCUUGGUAGCGAGGCUAACGCGUGAAAUCGACCGCCUGGGGAGUACGGUCGCAAGAUUA
RNAcentral lists this ribosomal RNA (549 nucleotides) under uncultured bacterium. Its description in RNAcentral is "bacterial SSU rRNA". It matches the Rfam family "Bacterial small subunit ribosomal RNA", at positions 355 to 896 of the family's 1533-position model. The record is from RNAcentral.